AGAGUUUGAUCCUGGCUCAGGAUGAACGCUAGCGGCAGGCCUAACACAUGCAAGUCGAGGGGUAUAGUUCUUCGGAACUAGAGACCGGCGCACGGGUGCGUAACGCGUAUGCAAUCUACCUUAUACAGGGGAAUAGCCCAGAGAAAUUUGGAUUAAUGCCCCAUAGUGUUAUAGAAUCGCAUGGUUUUGUAACUAAAGUUCCAACGGUAUAAGAUGAGCAUGCGUCCCAUUAGUUAGUUGGUGAGGUAACGGCUUACCAAGACAAUGAUGGGUAGGGGUCCUGAGAGGGAGAUCCCCCACACUGGUACUGAGACACGGACCAGACUCCUACGGGAGGCAGCAGUGAGGAAUAUUGGUCAAUGGGCGCAAGCCUGAACCAGCCAUGCCGCGUGCAGGAAGACGGUCCUAUGGAUUGUAAACUGCUUUUAUACAGGAAGAAACCUCCCUACGUGUAGGGACUUGACGGUACUGUAGGAAUAAGGAUCGGCUAACUCCGUGCCAGCAGCCGCGGUAAUACGGAGGAUCCAAGCGUUAUCCGGAAUCAUUGGGUUUAAAGGGUCCGUAGGCGGUCUUAUAAGUCAGUGGUGAAAGCCCAUCGCUCAACGAUGGAACUGCCAUUGAUACUGUAAGACUUGAAUUUUUGUGAAGUAACUAGAAUAUGUAGUGUAGCGGUGAAAUGCUUAGAUAUUACAUGGAAUACCAAUUGCGAAGGCAGGUUACUAACAAUUGAUUGACGCUGAUGGACGAAAGCGUGGGGAGCGAACAGGAUUAGAUACCCUGGUAGUCCACGCCGUAAACGA
Molecule: ribosomal RNA, 800 nt
Filed under: uncultured bacterium
Lineage: Bacteria
Description: bacterial SSU rRNA
Rfam family: Bacterial small subunit ribosomal RNA
Source: RNAcentral